RNAcentral lists this transfer RNA (72 nucleotides) under Camelus bactrianus (Bactrian camel). It matches the Rfam family "tRNA". From Rfam's summary of the family: Transfer RNA (tRNA) molecules are approximately 80 nucleotides in length. RNAcentral also lists the same sequence under 1 other name. The record is from Rfam by way of RNAcentral. Lineage: Eukaryota; Metazoa; Chordata; Mammalia; Artiodactyla; Camelidae.
GAGGGUAUUGCUCAGUGGUAGAGCGCAUACUUAGCAUGCACGAGGUCCUGGGUUCAAUCCCUAGUACCUCCA